RNAcentral lists this ribosomal RNA (524 nucleotides) under uncultured bacterium. RNAcentral describes it as "partial 16S ribosomal RNA". It matches the Rfam family "Bacterial small subunit ribosomal RNA", at positions 28 to 523 of the family's 1533-position model. The record is from RNAcentral.
GACGAACGCUGGCGGCGUGCUUAACACAUGCAAGUCGAACGGACAGACAGAGAGCUUGCUCUCUUGAAGUUAGUGGCGAACGGGUGAAUAACGCGUAAUCAACCUGCCCUUCAGAGGGGGAUAACAACGGGAAACCGUUGCUAAUACCGCGUACGAUUCAUGAACGGCAUCGUUUAUGAAUGAAAGGUGGCCUCUAUGUAUAAGCUAUCGCUGAAGGAGGGGAUUGCGUCUGAUUAGCUAGUUGGAGGGGUAACGGCCCACCAAGGCAAUGAUCAGUAGCCGGUCUGAGAGGAUGAACGGCCACAUUGGGACUGAGACACGGCCCAAACUCCUACGGGAGGCAGCAGUGGGGAAUCUUCCGCAAUGGACGAAAGUCUGACGGAGCAACGCCGCGUGAGUGAUGAAGGUCUUCGGAUUGUAAAGCUCUGUUAAUCGGGACGAAAGAGUUCUGCGUGAAUAAUGCUGAAAAGUGACGGUACCGGAAUAGAAAGCCACGGCUAACUACGUGCCAGCAGCCGCCGUAA